CUACCUAUAAAUACCCACUCAUUUUAUCAUUUCCAAACACCAAGCAAAUAAUUUCACUACAUUAAUCACAUUCAAUCAAUGGUUGAGAGCGCUAAUUAACACUGAAAAUGGCUAAAUUUGCUGCACCCUCCAUUGCCCUUCUUCUCACUUUGACCAUUCUCUUUUUCACUAUGGUUAGUUCCACUGAUGUCCCAUGUCCACCACUCCCACACCCCAAACCCCACCCUACUCUNNNNNNNNNNNNNNNNNNNNNNNNNNNNNNNNNNNNNNNNNNNNNNNNNNNNNNNNNNNNNNNNNNNNNNNNNNNNNNNNNNNNNNNNNNNNNNNNNNNNNNCCCUACUCUCAAGCCCCACCCCAAGCCUACCCCUACCCCCUCUACCCCAUCCACCCCAUCAACCCCGUCAUCAAAGGGUAAGUGCCCAAAGGACACACUUAAGCUAAAAAUGUGUGCUAACUUAUUGAAUGACUUGGUGCACCUUGUUAUUGGAAGUAGUCCAGCCAAGACUGAAUGCUGCUCUUUAAUUCAAGGACUUGAUGAUCUUGAUGCUGUUGUUUGCCUUUGCACUGCCAUUAAAGCCAAUGUGUUGGGAAUUAACCUAAAUGUUCCUCUUUCCCUCAGUUUGUUGCUCAACAACUGUGCAAAGUAUGCCCCCAAGAACUUCCAAUGCGCAUAAGCUGCUGUUUUUUUAAAUAAUUAUCCUUGUUUAUUUAGAAGUUUUUCAUCUGUCUUUCUUCAGUAAGUUUUGUAUGUUUUGCUUAUGAUUGUAUCCGAAUUUUAUUAUUAAUAAAAUGACAUCUUAUAAUGAUUCAUAAUAUUGUUAGGUGAUUGUCUCGUUUUUGUUGUCUAGUUUAUUGUCGCUCAAGUUUACUUUAAAUUAUUAAUUUUCGCAUGACACCUGAUUAUUUUGAUCCUAACAAACAUCACAUAUUUGAGAUUCGGAAAUAGGCUGAAUAAUUAGUUUCUCAUUUAAAAGUUGGUCUUUACAUAAUAUUUUUUGAUCGAUCGAUCUGAAAUUAAUUACUUUCGCUAGUCGAUUGGAUAUUCACAGAUUGGAUAUAUUGAUUUGGGGGUGACUAUAUUGUGUAAAAUUCCCUUUUAAAUAGAAACCUUAAUUCUUUCUCUAGGCGAUUCUUGGUUCGUAGAAGAUGCAUGGGGACAGAAAAAGUUAAGUUAGUUUGCUCAACCAGUUCCACUUUAUAUAUCUAGACUAGAAAACGUUCGAUUUAAUUUUCAUCAGUUCUAGAGUUGUCUUAUUGCUGUUGAAUUUAUACAUGAUUUAUUGAUAAGUGAAUCAAUUUGUUUCUAAAAUAACAUUCAAAUUAGAUGAAAAUGUGAUACUUAACCUUGAGAUUUGGAUUGAAUGCAUGUGACGUAUCUUCUCCAGAAAAUUCGCAUCCUCUACAAUAAUAAUAGAGCUCACUAUUUAUAAAUGCAUCUAAGGAAGGAAGUCCUAGAAUCAAGCACGGCGGGCAUAAAUGCUAUAUUUUUUUGCAACAGGCAGUAUACUAAAUAUUGUAGAAUAUUCGUCAUUACAUAUGCUAUCGAGUGGCAAGUAUUUAUUUUAUCUUAAUGAGUAUCAUUCUCUCGGUUUCAGCUAUCCUCUAUCUUUGACUCCACAUGUCACGUAAUUAUUUAAUACUAUGACAUAUAUUAAUUAGCCCAUACAUGUACAUUUUUAAUUACUCACUGGAUUCUGAUAGAUAUCUUGAAUUGUUGCGCUAAGUGAAAAAACAGGAAAGGAAAGAAGGAUAUGUUCAAAGUAGCAUUUCUCUGUUGUGGGGGAAUGGCCAGAUGACUGGUGGAAAGAAUUAGACUGCAAUAUUAAGGAUGUUCUAGCUUCAAGUAAGUGUACGUACAAAAUAUUUAAAACAUACUAUAUAGGUAUUUUAAAAUACUUCUCGAUCUCAAACUGUUACAUGUCACGUCUAAAUGUCUGAUCAUCUUAAUAUUGGUGAGACCUAGAAGAGGAAAUAUACUAGAAAUUGUUGUGGAACGGGAUAGUUCAGAAAAUGAAAUUGGGAAACUUGGUUACUGAUCGAAAAAGAGGCUAAUUGCAAAAUAGUUUAGUAUAUUAUCACUUAAGUCCCUUGAGUUUUAUUUGUUUAAAGUCUUAUUCAAGUAGUGUAGCUUUUAUCUUGAAAGACAGGUGGACAUUCUUAUUCCUUUGUAUAUGUUAGCAUAGUACCAUCACUGUUUAUUUUUCAUUGGUUGUGUAGGUGAUUACAGCUGUAGGAUCAUUGCCUUAUUUAGCCCAGUAGCAUCCUCAUAAAGAUCUAUUGAAGAAUGAAAAAUCUUAUUUAGGGUGUAUUUGGUACGAAGGAAAAUAUUUUCCGGAAAAUAUUUUUUAAAUUUUUUAUAGUUGGUUGGCUUAAAUAUUUUGGAAAAUGUUUUCCUUAUUAAGAGAAGGGAAAACAUUUUCCAAACCUCCAUCUCAACAUUCUCCGCUCUCAUCAACCCACUCCACCCCCUCUCAAAUUUUUUUUUUUUAAUUUCAGUUUUUCCCUUAUCACCUACCCUACUACACAUUUAGCCCCCCCUCCCUCCAAAAAAAAAAUUUUUAUCUUAAUUUUUUUAAAUAUUAAAUUACUAUAUUUUUAUUUUUCUGCACCACCCACCCCAACCCCCACCAGGACCCCCUCCGAAAAAAAAAUUUACUCUUUUUGUGGUUUAAAUUCCUGUUUUUUUUUCAUUUUACUGCCCCCUACCUCAGUCCCGCCCNNNNNNNNNNNNNNNNNNNNNNNNNNNNNNNNNNNNNNNNNNNNNNNNNNNNNNNNNNNNNNNNNNNNNNNNNNNNNNNNNNNNNNNNNNNNNNNNNNNNNNNNNNNNNNNNNNNNNNNNNNNNNNNNNNNNNNNNNNNNNNNNNNNNNNNNNNNNNNNNNNNNNNNNNNNNNNNNNNNNNNNNNNNNNNNNNNNNNNNNNNNNNNNNNNNNNNNNNNNNNNNNNNNNNNNNNNNNNNNNNNNNNNNNNNNNNNNNNNNNNNNNNNNNNNNNNNNNNNNNNNNNNNNNNNNNNNNNNNNNNNNNNNNNNNNNNNNNNNNNNNNNNNNNNNNNNNNNNNNNNNNNNNNNNNNNNNNNNNNNNNNNNNNNNNNNNNNNNNNNNNNNNNNNNNNNNNNNNNNNNNNNNNNNNNNNNNNNNNNNNNNNNNNNNNNNNNNNNNNNNNNNNNNNNNNNNNNNNNNNNNNNNNNNNNNNNNNNNNNNNNNNNNNNNNNNNNNNNNNNNNNNNNNNNNNNNNNNNNNNNNNNNNNNNNNNNNNNNNNNNNNNNNNNNNNNNNNNNNNNNNNNNNNNNNNNNNNNNNNCCGAAAAAAUAUUUUCAAUAUAUUUUUCAGUUUUAGUUUUAUUAUUCUUCGGUUUACAAGCUAAAAAUUUUUAAAUUUUAAAGUUAUGAAUUCAGAUGUUUAUGUGUUUGGAAGUUUAUAGUUUUAGAAAUUAUAAAUUUACGAGUUUAAAAUUUCGCGAUUUUAAAUUUUGUGGGUCCGAAAGGUUGUUGGUUCAAAAGUUUAUGGCUUCGUAUUUAUUAUAUCUUAAUAAUUUAUAAAUACUCUUGAGAAGUCAUUUUCCUUAAUUUGCGUAACAAACACUGAAAAACAAAUAAGAUUACUACUUGUUUUCCAAGAAAAUAUUUCUUAAAAAAUAUUUGCCACGGAAAACAUUUUCUGUUAUACCAAACACACCCUUAAUCUUCUUACUUCAAUUCUGCAAAUUUUUCUUUUCUGUUCUUUCUUUGCUAAAAUGCUACAUUUGGUAUCUAGAGCCGGACUUUCACGGCGACUUUCUAGUAAGUCAUGGUGAAGUCACAAAAGGAUAAAGCUCCCUAUGAUGGUUGGAAAAAUUGAAAAUCAGCUCAAAGUAUAUAUUAAUGAAUCUAAAAAAUGGAUGGAAAUGCUUGAACAGAUUCAAGCUCGUUUGCACGCAGAGGCCACACAAAGACAAGUAGAGAACAAUCGUAGACUUGACACCUUGUUGGCCCAUCUAGAGAUAGAACAAAGAUCGAAAUCAAUAGCUUCAGGGAGAUCUCUUGCAGCUUUGGCCAUGUGUGAUUCAACAAUAGAAAGAGAAGAAUCUUCGGUAACUGGAAUGCGCAGACCCUCUCUUUCACCAGUAACACCAAAUUUUUCACAAACGGGAAGGAAUUUGUCUCUAGCUGGCGCUCCCUUCAAUAUUAUGGUUUCUGCUAUGAUACCCAUUACACAAUUUGGGCCUUUAACAUUUUAUAGUUCAGGACCUUUUUUAUACCCUGCAACACCACUUUCACUCACUCAACCACCAAGAACUUCCAGUUUCUCAUCUAUACCAAUUUCUUUGAUUAACCUUGUUUUUAACACAAGUAUUCCUAUGAACACCACUCAAGUUACUCCACCUUAACCCAGAUAACUUUCACCACUACCUUCCUACCACAUCUAGCUUGUUAGGCCAUUAUGAAUAGUUCAAUGGUGCAACCCAAUAGUCAAUAUAAUUUACAGCCCACUACCCAAACUUUCAGCCCUUUUAAAGGCCCAAAAGUAAAGCUAAAUUUUUCUGAUUUUGACUGUGACAACCCACGAGGUUGGAUAAGACGAUGUGAGAAGUACUUUGAACUGUAUCAAAUUGAGGCUACUGAAAAAAUGAGUUAUGUGGCUUUCCAUGUCAAUGAAAAGAUAGAUACAUGGUUUGAUGUGUAUAUGAUGGAACAUGGGGGGGGUCAUAACAUGGGAAACUUUUUAUUUGGAUGUUUGCCCAAGGUAUGGUAGCAUUAAACCCUUGGACAUUGUGAUUGAAUUUAAUAGGUUACAACAACGGACAGAUGUUGAAAACUAUUUUAACAAGUUUGAAGACCUGCGUUUUUACUUGUUACUAAUUAAUCCUAUCUUUAAUGAAGUCUAUUUUGUGUAUUGUUUUAUUGGAGGAUUAGAAACUGAUUUGAAGUCUAUGGUAAGAGUGUCUAAUCCUCAGACAAUGACAGAUGCUUUAGAAGUGAUCAAAUUACAUGAAAAGACCUUCAGCCAUCUAUAAAAAUAUUCAACCACCAAAGAUUUCCAUCACUCAGCCCAAAAUAACUUUUCCCCCAAGCCCCAAAGCGAUCAUUAGCCCAAGACCAAAAAACUUACCACUCAUUGUAACCCGUAAUCCAACAACCUCAUAAAAUAACCCUUCCUUGGAAACAUUACGUGAAAAGAAGUUGUGUUAAAGUGUCACGACAAAUAUUUUCCUAGGCAUCAAUGCAAGGUGAAAGUCCUUAAUUCUAUAGAGGGUACUGAAGCAGCAACAAUAUUUGAGGAAGUUGAAAGUUCUGGAGUAACGGAGGAAGAAAAUCUGAAGUAAAUGAUGAAGAGGCAGUGGUAAAUGCAAUGGAGGAAUGCAAAGAAGAAGCUUGGAUUAACAUGUUGGAUGGCCCAGAUAGAGGCCCAAACACCAUUAAGAUUCCAGGAAUAUGGCAAAAUGAAUCCAUAAUUGUAUUAUGUGAGUAAAACCUUUUUCCGUAAUCUGGCAAAUGGAAGGUGAAGUCUUAAAAUUUUAUUUGUGAUUAGUGAAGGUUAGAGGUUGUGAUAUGGUGUUAGGAAUGGAUUGGAUCGACAUCAUAGCACCCAUGGUUAUAAAUACUAAGCCUCAUAGUGUGUCUUUCAUGAAAGGUAGCCGAAUGAUGACAUUGGUUGGAUAUCCAGAUUCACAAUCCAUGGCUAAAAUGGAUUCAAAGUUAGUACAUGACCCGGAUUUACCCACUAUCGGGAGUUGUGAUGGCGCCUACUGUCGAAUCUAGGCAUGCCAACCUUUAUAAUCACUUUUACCAUUCUUAAAUCUAAAACAACUGAAAUACUAAAAUAUUUAAUUAAAACCUGCGGAAGUCUUUUAACAACAAGAGCGAAAAUAAAGAUGCAGAAAUUACAACAUGUCUCUAUCCAGUAUCUACUGUCACUACUCACGGACAACUAACAAAGUACUAAAAUCAAUAGUCUGAACGAAAAUACAUAAUAUGUCUGUUUGUUACAAUUAAAAAAGUGAAAGAAAUUGACAAGGGAGACUCAGGGCCCGCGAACGCCAGCGAACUACCUCAGAGCCUCUGGACUGAAGGAUCACUCCCGGCUAAAUCUGCGAUCUGUAGCCUGUGUCCUGACCUGUGUAGAAUAAGGCACAGAUGCGUAGUAUCCACACAACUGACCCCAUGUGCUGGUAAGUGCCCGGCCUAACCUCGGUGAGGUAGUGAUGAGGCUAAAACGGACCUAUCGCAACCAACCUGUGCAUUUGUAAUAACAGGAAGUGAGCAAGAAUUUAAGCAAAUAAAGGGGAAGGGGACAUGCUAGGGGAGUAACAGUUCAAUUAUAACUUCUACAAUCAAGAUGUGAAACUAAAUAAAUAAUAAUAAAACAAGAAAGCCAAUGAAUCAACGGCUGCACGGCAUCACCCUUCGUGCUUUUACUCUUAUUCCUUACAAAAAUAGUCAAAUAUAAUGCACGACAUCACUCUUCAUGCUUUUACUCUCAUUUUUCACCAGGAAUAUCAAAUACAGGGCACGACAUCACCCUUCGUGCUUUUACUCUCGAUAAAUCGUGCACGGCAUCACCCCUCGUGCUUUUACUCUCAAUAAACAGUGCACAGAAUCACCCUUCUUAUGGCCACUGCCAAACGGGAACAAGGAAAUAUAUAUCUAUCGAGAUGGAAUAUCCCGGAAAGGGAAUACAAUACAACAAGUGAUCCCGGCAAGGGAAAUACAACUCAACAAUAUGUCCCGGCAAAGGAAUACAACUUAACAAAUGGUUCCGGCAAGGGAAAAGUACCAAAAAUUCCUUUUUAGUUCAUUAAAUUCUCAACUUUCGCUUCAUAGUGCUUGAAAUAAUCAAUUGUUCACUUACUUCACAAUUUAAGAACUCAACAAAUGGUCCCUACAAGGGAAUACAACUCAAAAAAUGCUCCUGGCAAGGAAAAAGUAUCAAAAAUUACUUUUUAGUUCAUUUAAUUCUCAACUUUCACUUCAUGGUUCUUGUAACAAGUAAUUAUCACAAUUGCUCACUUAUUUCACAAUUUAAUAGCAAAUUUGACAUCAUGGUCAUGCUUCACUCGGGCACAUAGGUAACCGUCACCAUACCUAUACACCGACCCCAUAUAACACAUAACAAAUAACAAUCUAAUCCUAUUCCCUCAAGCCAAAGUUAGAUCGAACACUUAACUCGAAAGCUUCCAACUCAACUCAAGCCUCUAGAAUAGCUUUACCCCUCGAAUUCGCUUCAAAAUCGGUCAAAUCUAACCACAAAUGAUCCAAAUGUAGUAACAAAUGUUGGUUGAAUCAAUUUGAAUGCAAAAGAAUAAAAUUCCCAAAGUUUUACUAAAAAAUUCAUAAAUUCCCCCAGGCCCACGUGGUCAAAACUCGAGGUUCGAACCAAAACCGGGUUACCCAUUCCCCCACGAGCUCUUAUCCAUAACUAGAAUUGAAAUCGAAUCUCAAAUCGAGGUCCAAAAGCUCAAAUUAUAGAGAACCUAAGUUCUACCCAAAACCCCAAAUUCCCAUUUUUGAAAAUCUUUGAUUGAAGUAGAUAUUAUGUUAAAAGAUGUUAAGAAGUAGGAAAAUUAGGUAUGAAACAGCUUACCAAUUGAUUUGGAGAAGAAAAUCUCUUCAGAAAAUCGCCUCUUGGGUUUUGGGUUUGUGAACAAUGGAAAAAUGGCUGAAAUUUCGGAUAUAUAUACUUUUGGGAUGCGCUGGUGCACACCGCACAAAAAAGCACCGCGGCCGCACCGAGUGGGAAGAAAACUGAGGCUCUCUGAACCUACCUAGUGCGGACCACACUGAUUUGGUAUGCGACCGCACCGGUUGAUCAGGAACUACCCACCCUCGGAGACCCAGCCAGGCGUACCGCACAAGAAGUGAUAUGGCCGCGCGGCCCCUAGGCAGAUCACACAAGAAGUGAUGCGGCCGCGCGGCCCCUGGGCAGACCGCACAAGAAGUAAUGCAGCCGCGCGGCCACUAGGCGGACCGCAUGGAAAUGGUAGGCGGCUGCACUAGUGCCUGCAACUUGGAUACACCCUCCCGCUUUACCCUUUGUUAGAAGAGUUAUGUCGGUUGUUCCGGCCAUGUCCGACCCAGCUUACUGCAUACGCCUUGAAGGUAUGCCGGGAUUUAUCCGUCUAUGCGGCGAAGGCGGGGAAAGAGGUGACUGUCCAUCACCUCCUGCAGAUGUUCAACGCGGUUUUUAUGGGGGGUUCGAUGCUCAAACUGAGGAAACGUUGCACAAAGAGCUUCGUAUCGCAGUUGGAUGAUAAGGCCAAUCAUAAAUUCAGGACGCGGUUCUUCUACGUGCGUACCGAGCACCUCGUGUCUAACCCCGAAGGGUUCCCGGAGGUGUGGAACGAUGCAUGUGAGUAUUUAUUUGUGCAACUUUUGUUGUUUUGAUCUCACAUUGCUUGUUUUCACCGUUGAGAGUUUAUUUUUGUUUCCAUGAAGUGGUGGCUCGCCCUCCUCAUUGGGUUGACGAUGUUAGAUCGUGGGUGCAAGCGUUGAUACCGUUUGUAGAAGAGACGAGAUCCUGGACUACAUUCCUCAGGCUCUACGGCCCGACAGGUAACAACCUUACCUGAUUUGCGUUGUGGUUAGGGGGUUCCCAUAACUCUUGUGCCCGUCCAAUUUAUUUUUUGGACAGGAUGGUAUUCCUCCAAGAAGCUACAUAAGAAAAAGCAACAGAAGCAGGUGAAGACCGUGGCCGGUCCUUCUAGAACGACAUCUGAUCCUGAGGAGGAUCUGGUCCUUGUUGACACAUCUACAGGCAAUACUUCGCCCCUUUCGAGACAGGAGAUCUUGUUGGAAGUGGCUCCAGAGAUAAUGCUUGGGGCCGUGAUGGAAGUCGUUCCUGAGGCGACACCCGUGGAGGUGCCAAUGGCUGUUCCGGAAAUUUCCCCCCGGAGGGACGUCUACCGUUGUUCCAACCCCUUAUGAACCCUCUUUGCAUUCCCCAAAGGGGGACCCUGAAGAGGACGAGACUUUGGAGGCGCGGAGGCGUCGGAUUAUUACCGGCAAGGCCGUGGCACUCAACCGAAGAAGUUUAAGCCACCCUGCCCUGAAUCCACGGCGGUUGUUAUGGCUGAGGCCAUUAGAGCAGGGAGGUCCGUUCUUGGGAGAGAGACCGCUGAGAGAGGAGAUGAGGGCGCGGACGCAGCGGGCCCCGGAGCGACCCCUGAAGGCGCAAACAGAGGAGGUGGGCUUGGACUGGGUUGAAAUGGCGGCUGGUCGAUCUUCUCGUUGUAUUGUGAUCCCAAGUCACUAUAAUUUGUUGUAGAACUGUGAGGAGGUGGCCACUAGUAUGACACUUUUGUGUAUUGGCGCCAAGAGUGAGACCCUGGCGGAACUCAACGACAAAGUUUUGGCCCAACGGGUGGCAGGUGCGGCCUUACAGGUAUGCCUUUGUCUUUCUUGAUGACCUUUCUCUUUUGCAUUUGGUGGAGGGUGAUUUUUCUCAUACUUACUUGGUUUCUUUUCCAGACUCUUGUUUUGGAGGUGUAGAGGGAACGACAUCGGAAGGAGAAGAUGGCUAGAUACAAUAGGCUGGUGCAGAAUUAUGAUAGAACCCGCGAGGCGCUCCAGACCUUGGCCGACAUGUAUAAGCAGGACCUUAACUUUAGGGUGGUCCGUGAGGGCCUUGCUGAGUCCGAGGAACAGUUGCAGAAAAGAGUAGCCAAGCUGGAGAAAGUUGAUGAGCAGCUCUUGGCUACCGUUACUCGGGCCGCGGGGAUGGAGGUCCUUAUUCAGGCAAAGGAUGAGUAGUUGCAGCUUGACCGCGUGGUGGCGGAGGAAGCGGCAGAACUACGAAGUUGGGUUUGGCUUUAACUGCGGAGCUGGACGCCACUAAGGUUGAAGUUGAGGAGCUCAAAUAAGCUCUUGCGCAAGCGGAUAUCUCUCGUGAAGCACACGAGAUGUGGGUUUAUGCCGAGUUUCGGUUAGUCGUGCUUGAGGAGUUCCUGGCGGCUGCCUGAGCGUUUGAAGUGGAAGUUGAGAGCCAGCGCCGGUUGGUCAGAGUCUCUCGUGAAGCAGCGGGCUAUGAUCGUGAUUCACCGCCCGGGAGGGGGGCAACUCAGCGGAUAUCAAUCUCUUGGAAUCCAGUUCUUGGAUUUCCAGGGCGUACCCUCCCGGAAAUGAGGACGGGGCACCUGAGGGCCAGGCCAGGCUAGAUAAGUAGCGGUUUUCUUAGGAUCCUUGUAAAUAUACUUGUUUAUUCUGAUUUUUGUAUCAGGGGUUUUUGUUCCCUUGAUGAAAACAUGUAAUUUUUGUGGUAUGUAACUUUUCUACCUUUUGGCAUGUCAUCGUACUUUUCUUUUAUCGCAGUCGCUUGGAAUUUUUCGGCCAUUGUGGUGUAAAGUUACCCUUAUGGCUUUAGCUGUAUAAAAUAGGCAGUCGUAGCCUUGUGAAUGCGAUGGCUCUGUCCAUGUAUAGAUAGAGGUCGUAGCCUGAUGAGAAUGAUGUCCAUAGCCAUGUAAAAUAAAAGUCGCGGCCUAAUGGCCUUAGCCGUAUAAAACAAUAGUCGUAAUCACGUAAAAUGAGGGUUGUAAACUAAUGGCCUUAGCCAGACAAACGAUGGGCAUAGCUAUGUAAAAUAAAGGCCGUAGCCUGAUGGCCUUAGCCAUGUGAAAUAAAGGUCGUAGCCUGAUGGCCUUAGCCAUGUAAACUAUGGCCAUAGCCAUGUAAAAUAAAGGUUGUAGCCUGAUGGCAUUAGCCAUGUAAACAAUGGCCAUAGCCAUGUAAAAUAAAGGUCCUAGCCUGAUGACCUUAGCCAUGUAAACGAUGGCCAUAGCCAUGUAAAAUAAAGGUCGUAGCUUGAUGGCCUUAACCAUGUAAACGAUGGCCAUAGCCAUGUAAAAUAAAGGUCGUAGCCUAAUGGCCUUAGCCAUGUAAAAUAAAGGUCGUAGCCUGAUGGCCUUAGCCACUUCAUUCACUUGGAGAUGAUCAUAGCCUUUACAUUCAUUUGGAUAUGGCCGUAGCCUACUCAUCUGGAGAUGGCCGUGGCCUUUACAUUCAUUUGGAGAUGGAUGUAGCCUUUACAUUCAUCUCUAGAUGGUCGUAGCCUUUAUAUUCAUUUGGAGAUGGCCGUAGCCUAUUCAUAUGGAGAUGGUCGUGGCCAUUACAUUUAUUUGGGGAUGGCCGUAGCCUAUUCAUCUAGAGAUGGCCGUAGCCUUUACAUUCAUUUGGAGACGACACUAAUCCAGUCCCUGUAUCAUGUCUGUAAUGGAGAGCUCAUGGAGAGGCAGAGAUGAUGCACUUGCGCUGCAAAUGUCUCCAAGUGACCCCUUCGUCGCCUCGUUAAAAACCAUCCCAAGAAAACCCAAUUGAGACAAUACUCGGGUAAGGGAAAAAGAGUAUGACUCAGGUGACACCUUUUGAGAAGUGGAAACAUUUGAGGUGAGCGAUGUUCCUGUUGUUCUGGAGCGUCUUUCCUUCCAUUGUCUCUAGCUGGACCGCUCCUUUUCCAGCCGUCGCCGUAAUUUUGUAGGGUCCGUCCCAAUUUGUGCCAAAUUUUCCUUCACUUGGAUCUUUUGAGGCCAGGGUUUUCGCUUUAAGGAUGUAGUCAAAUGUUUUGAGCGGCCUCAUUUUUGCCAUCUUGUUGUAACAUUUAGCAACAAAUAAAUAAUUAACCAAACAAGUGCUCUCCGAACUAAGCUAGAUAGUCUCUUAUCACUAGGCUCACCAACCAACCUGGACUUCUUUUUAAUUAUUCCUUCUGGAUAUCAAAACAAACCAUAAGGAUUGUUUAUCUUUCGACUUAUUUUUUUCGGGCAACCAUCUUGAUGUGGGCCAUUUCUCUUCUUUAUUCGGUUUCGUCGAGAUCUUGGAGCCUGCUGAUGUCAUUUUAGGUUCCACUGGUGUGUGAGUACCUUGAGCUGGGUUCACCCACUUUGACGGGUAUGACAGCAUCGAUUCCAUAGAACAAUGAAUAUGGGGUUUCCCCGGUGCUGGAUUUGGGGGUGGUAUGUGCGCCCAUAAGACUUCAAGUAGUAAUUUGGGCCACAGCCCCUUGGCAUCUUCAAGCUUCUUUUUUAGUAUGUUUAGAAUUGUUUUGUUGGAGGACUCUGCAUAGCCGUUGGCGGCAAGGUGAUAUGGCAUUGAUAGUAUCCAUUUGAUACACCAUUUUACGAAGAACUCUGUCGUUUUCUUGCCAAUGAACUGGCACCCAUUAUCACAGCUGAUUUUUUGGGGAUGUCGAAACGGCAUAUGAUGUUUUUCCAAAUGAAGGUGAUGACUUCUUGCUCGCGUAUUUGUGUGUGCGCACAUGCUUCUACCCACUUGGAGAAGUAGUCAGUUAAAAAAAGUAAAAAUCGUACCUUUCCUCGUCUUGAGGGUAGUGGGCCGACUAUGUCCAUUCCCCAUUUGAUGAAUGGCCAUUGUGAGGUGACGUAAUGGAGGGGUUCUUCUGGUUGGUGUAUCAUUGGGGCGAACUUCUGGCACUGUUUACACCGUCAAACAUACUCAGCUUCCUCUCUUCAUGGUGGGCUAAUAGUAUCCGGCACACUUAAUGCAUCUUACGAGGGAGCAGUUGCCAGUGUGGGCACCGCAAUGGCCUUCGUGUACUUCUUCGAUUACCGGUCUUAUUUGUUGCGGCCCUAAGCACUUGGCUAAGGGCCACCGAACGUCCUUUAAUAAAGGUUGCCAUUGCUUAUGUGGUACUAGGCGUCCUAUAUGCGAAGCUUCUUUGCUUUCUUUUUAUCAGGGUAAUACCCCGUCCUGCAAAUAAGAUAUGAACUGGUUGCGCCAGCCCCAAGUCAGGCUUAGGGAAAGUACCUCGGUGCGGUCGGUAGCCGAGUGGAGGAGUGUGACCACACUUUAUUUGUUGAUGUUUUUGGUGGCGGCAUCCAACUUUGCCAGACCGUCCGCUUCGAUAUUCCAUGCUCUGGGAAUUUAUUCGAAGCGACAUUUGUCGAAUGUGGCCAUCACUAUGUGGAUUUCUGACUGUUACUUUUGUAAUCUCUAUUCUUUGAUCUGAUAACUCCCAAUGACUUGGUUCACUACAAGCUGGGAGUCGCAGAGGAGGAGAAUCCGGCGAGCUCCGUACUUGAUGGCCAGUUUCAUUCCUGUAAUAACAGACUCAUACUCGGCCUUGUUGUUAGUUAUUUCAGGGCAUAGUAUGGACUGGCGAAUUGUUUCACCUGUGGGGACUUCAAGUACGAGUCCCAUUCCCGAUCCCGAUGCAUUGGCGGUGCCGUCUACGUAAAGGGCCCAUAGAUUGUUUCCGGAGGACGUGCGUUGUGAUUCGAGUUCUGCCUUUGGCUUGACUUCCGCACUGAAGUCGGCGAUAAAGUCUGCUAGGACUUGCGACCUGAUGGCGGUCCUAGGGAGGCAUGUAAUGGCAUGCUCACUGAGCUCAACGGCCCAUCUGGCGACCUGAAACCAUUGUAGAGAGUGGUAGGAUCUCUAGAAACAAACUACAGCUUUGAUUCUUGAAAUCCCCACAGACGGCGCCAAAUUGUUUGGCUAAAAAGUUAUCCGAAUACUUAAAUAGCUUUAAAACAAUAAAAAAUGAUAUGGGUUAAUCGGAAUAAGGGGUAAUGUGAUCUAGAAUAUGCUAAAUGAUCAAGAUCUGUGAUUAUAAUGUCAAUGAAUCAAAAUAUAAGAGCAAUAAGCGUUAUUCGAACACUUAGGUAGCUCUAAAAACAAUCAAAAUUUUUUUGGGUCAAACGGAAUCAAUUGUAAUAUGAUCUAGAGAUUGUAGGAUAAAAGCAAUAAGGUAAAUAGUAUAUUUAACCCAAUAGAGAUAGAGAAUCAGAGAGAGAGAGAGAGAGUUGUAUAUUAUCAGUAGUGAAAUACACAUAAGUCUUCACAAAGAACAUAAGAUUAUAUACUAAGGGACAUUCUUCGAAAUAAUAAAAAGAAAGUACAAGAGUUGGUGGCCUCGAUAUACGAGUGUCAGAGCUUGAUGUGACGUUACAACAAGUCAUGUCACUCAGCCCGUUUGUUGACUGAGGCCGGCCUUGCUUGGGCCGACCUCACCAAGGCCGCUUUCCUUAGCGGGGCCGUGUGCGGAUAGUGUAUGGGUGUGAGGAGCCAAAUUUGCCCAAUACAAUUAUUUUUGGCAAAAUAAAAUAUUUAGCUUAAAUAAUAUAAUUAUAUCCAAGUUUUACUAUAAAUUAUAUUUAAAAAAUAUUAUCUAAAAAGUAAUAUUCUUAAAAGGAUAAAUACCUUACCAAGGUCGAUGUCUUUAGUGGGGCCGUAUGCGGAUAGUGUAUAGGCAUGAGGAGCUAAAUUUGCCCAAUACAUAUAUAUAUAUAUAUAAACUUAUGUAUCAUUUUCUUCCAUGUCAUUGAAAGUUUGAAACUAUGUUAUUAGACAAUGUUGACAUGCUACCACGUCAUUUAAACCACAAACUUUUUCUCACAACCAUUGUUUUUUUUAAAAAAAAAAACUCCAAAUGUUGUCCUAAAGGAUGAACAUUCUUCUUCCUCAGAUAUCCACUUAUUAAAUUUGUCUCUCUCUCUCAAACAAGAGCGCAAUGCUAUCUAGUUUAAUCUAAUUCCAGAUAAAAAUUAAAAAAUUUAUCAGCAGCAACUUCAUAAGUUGAAGUUGUGAUCCGUUUUUUUCAAAAAUUUAUCGAAUUUUAUGAACAAAUAAUAUUUUAAAUUUUCUUAAAAACAAAAAAUGAAAAUAUUUAUAUCCAGACGGGUGCCGACCGUAACAAAGGGACUUAACCAUCUCGGUAUCGAAAUUGAGUUUUUAGAGGUAAUCAACAUGAAUAUUAUGAUUGUAAAGAUAGAAAUUAUCGAAAAACCUAGAGAGAGAACCUCCUCCCUCUCACUAAAAUCUUUUACUCAUCAUACACAAAACUCUUCAUCUCCCUUCGAUCUUUUCGAUGAACAUAGACACUUGGCCAACUAAAAUUCCUCCAAAACCUCCUGAUAUCCUUGAUGAUUGCAAUCCUCAAAUCACCAAAAAACCAAAAAGCCUCUUUUAAAGAUAUUCUAAUUAUUGAAGCUGAAACUUUGUAACUAGGUUCUGCAGUGAUGCCAAAGUAUAAAACCCCCAUGGAAAUAUCCCUACCAUCGUGUUUAAAAGAUCUAUCUAUGGAAGAAAGGGUAGUUUGUCUUUCACAAGAAGAUAAAAUAUAUAUAUACCCUGGAAAUACUCCAUAAUCAUAAAACUUCAAGGAAAAUGUCUUCUUUAUCAAAUUCUUAAGAAGAAAAUAUAUGAUCUUUGAAAAGUUUCUGAUAAUUUUCCAUUAAUAGAUUUAGGAUCUGAUUAUUAUGUGGCUAAAUUCCAAAAAUAAGAAUGCAUGAUAUCAGUGCUACAAAAUGGAACGUGGUUUAUUUUUGGCCACUUUCUAUCCUUUCAACACUGGAAACCCAACUUCGUAGCUACAAAUUAAAAUCAAAAUCUCAUCGCGGUUUGGGUCUCACUACCAAGCUUCUAUAAAAUUCUAUGAUGGUAUAUAUUGCAAAAGAUAGAAAACUCAAUUGAUAGACUUUAAAGGUGGAUGCAUGUACCUCAUCCACCCUUAGGGGUCACUAUGCCCAUCUAUGCAUAGAGAUUCGAUUACACCGUCCAGUAGCAAAAUCCAUUAUCAUUGAGAAUCAUAAACAAGUCAUUGAAUAUGAAGGCAAUAAAACCCUUUGUACAAAUUGUGGCUUAAUAGUACAUACAAUGCAAAAAUGUCCAAUAACAAGAAACUCUACAGUUCAAGCAGUUGAGACUAACAAUGGGAUCGAAGGUCAACAAAAUCGACACUCCAAAGAAGAGGAGAGCUGCCAUACAGUUGCAUUCAAAAGCUCAAAACAAAUAAAUAAAAAGGCCCUUAGGGAACUCGUUACAAGAACUGCUAGGACAUGUAUACACGUUAAUAUUUUUAGCGCCACUACAUGUAAGUAUUUCCAAUCCCAAAAACUACAGUUUGUCCAGAAAGGAAUUCAUGAUGGUCAUCUUCAUAAUCCAAAUUCUUCUAUGAAAGCAACUUAAUCCUUCAUAGUAAGGAUUAAUUAUAGUAAAAAUUAUUUUUCUUCAAUAAAUGACAACAACCCUUUGUUAGAAAAUAAUGCCCCCAUAAAUGUUUUAAGUAACAAAAAUAUUACUAAAAACCAGGGGGCUAUGGUAUCAUAAACUACCCCCUCCCUUUCACUUGGUCACGACCCUAUAACCCACCCCAACCCUGAUGGCAGUAUACAAACCCUUCAUUUUCCAAUGCAAAAGGAAAAGAGAGACCUAUCCCCCGUCACAACUAGACACCCCCUGCCGAUGAACAAAUGGAAGAACAAUAUGGACAAGUGGCAAACUUCUCCCAUGCAAAAUCUUCAGAAUCACUCAUUAAAUCUCCCACGCCAAACCCUUUAGUUUUCAUGCAAGUAGAUGCAAUCAUUCCAAACUCCAUCUCCUCUAUAGACUUAAACUAUCUUCUAACACACGAAAAUGCCAAGGCUUCCAAUACCCAGUCGACGAAGAUAUCGAUUAAUCCAACUUGCUCGACCAAACAUCCCCUCAAAAUAUGAACAACCUCCCUCCUCUUCCACCACAAAUUUCAAACCCUCUGAUCAUCUAUGAAAAACUACCACUCUCUCAAGAUCAUCAUCCUCUCUCUUAAAUAGAACUAAGGUUAAUGGGGAGAGGUUUAAUGAUCACUGCAACAAUGAAUGGCCAAGAGAGCAUUAUUCUUAUCCAAAUUCCUCAAUACCUAGCGAAGUUAGUCUAUGAAAGCCUUCACCUUGCCAUGAACAACUACCUAAACCAUGUAUAGGUCAAUAAUAGAUUGUAACCUAGUUGCUGCACUAAAUCAGAAAAUUGCUCAGGAGAUGAGAAACCAAUGGAAUCUCCCCCCACCCUUUAAUCAUGUCCGAGUCCUCCAUCAAAAUAUAGGAUUAGAGCUCCCAUUCUUCCCCCCAGAAGUAGUGACAUCCCUGAACCCAAUUCUAAUGCAAUGGGAGGCCCCUCAACCACUUCAGGAUCCCCCUCAUAACAUGCAGAUGAACAUGCAGAAUAUAAUCCCAGACCCCCCGAUAGAUCAAAACUAAAACUUAGGAAAUCAGGUAAUAGAAGAAAUGAACCCUCCAAUAACCUACCUGGGGAGUCUGCAGUGGAAUAGGAAGUUUAAACGAGGUAAAAGUCUUCUUGUUCGAAGAGGAUUAAGAGAAAAGACACAUACUAGCCUAUCCCCAUACUUCUUCAAAUGUACAAUGGAUAUCUGCCCUCCCCAAGAUCCGACUGUAGGAAACAGAGCCAUGAUACUGGUGCCAACUCUGAGGAGGCUCUCCAAUCUGUACAUGGAGAGUGGACACAAGCUACAACAAUUGAAUAAUAUGCGUAGACCAAUAAAUUUUAUAAUCUAGAAUAUAAGAGGUGGGAAAAAUGAGUAAUUUGCUAGGAAUUCCAGGGAUCUAAUGGUGACUCAUAGGCCAUGCAUGGUGGCAUUACUAGAAAUUAGAAUUCAAAACCAUAGUAAUUUGAUGAAUGAAUUUUGGUUCACUAAACUUAUCGAAGUCCCUGCUGAUGGCCAAAGUGAUGGUGGUGUGAUGGGAUAAUUCUAAGCUGACAGUUCAUAAUUUCAUUAAAAGGAACCACAAGAUACAUUCUACAAUUGAGGUACAUUCCAGUAACAUUAGAUGGCCUUUUUCAAGUAUUUAUGCUAGCACUAGUUCUACUAAUAGCGAUAUCAUGUGGGAUAAUAUCAAGCAACACUCUAAUAAUUCCAAUGGGCCAUGGUUUCUGGGAGGGGAUUUAAUUAUAUUUUUAGCACUAAUGAUAAGAUAGGUGGUUGUCCGGUUAACCGAAAUCGUGCCCUAAAACUUUGGUCAUAUUUAAAUUAUUGUAAACCUCUUGAUCUUGGUUAUAAGGGUGGAAAAUAUACGUGGUCAACUCAUUGAUUUCAAAAUAAUCAACUAAUUCUAGAGCGUCUUGAUAAGGUUUUUGGGAAUGAUCAUUGGGUUCAAUGCAUUCCUAAUUCCUCAAUAGUUCAUCUCCCCAAAAUCCACUCGGACCAUAAUCCCCUCCUUAUAAAGAUCAUUCCUAAACAACAACCUUCUUACCCUAAACCAUUUAGAAUAGAGACUUCUUGGUGCAAACACCCCACGUUCCUUAAGGUGGUUGAAUAAUCUUUGAAUGAAAAUUCUUUUGAGAAAGCGGUUGCUAUUUUCAUGAAUGAUGUAACCUUUUGGAAGCACAACACCGUUGGGGAUAUAUUUUAAAACAAAAGGAAGUUUUUAGACAGAUUAAAUGGUAUCCAAAAUUCGGUCCACUAUUACCACUGUCCCUUCCUCCAAUCAUUGGAAAAAUCUCUUAUUGAUGACUUCAAUACAAUUUUGAAAAUGAAAGAAGACUAUUGGAAACUUAGAUCCAGAAUUUUUUGGCUUACUGGGGGAGACGCUAAUACUAGAUUCUUUCACAUAUCAACGACUAAUAGGAAAAGAAUUAACAAAAUUGUGUCCUUUAAAACGAUCAUAAUGUCUGGAUUGACUUCAAAGACAUUUAUACCUCUUUCCAUUCACUGAGCUAUUGGAAUAUUGCUAAUAAAACCACUAAUUCUUUCACUAACUAUAAUCUCUCAUCCUUAGACAACCCGGUCACAAUAUCUGAAAUCAAGCAAGCCUGUUUCUCUUUUAAACCCUUUAAAUUUCUUUGACCCGAUGGUUUACAUCCUUUUUUCAUUCAAAAAUAAUGGGAAAUUAUAGGUCAAUCGGUGAUCAAGCUUUGUGAGGAUGUCUUCAACAAGGGGAAAUUGCCUGAAGGUAUCAAUGCUACUCUUUUAUGCUUAGUCCCAAAGAUUCCCAAUGCGAAUAAUCUCAAGAACUUUAGACCAAUUUGUCUAUGCAAUACAAUUUAUAAGAUUAUCUAAAAAAUUAUUGUCAAUCGUCUCAAACCUUUCCUGGACAAUCUUAUUAGCCCCUACCAAACUAACUUCCUUAAAAUAGGAAAGCUAGUGAUAAUGCUAUGAUCAUCCAAAAUUUAAUGCUAAAGUUGAAUAAAUACAAAGGCAAAUAUCAAAAUAUGCUCUUUAAAAUUGACCUGGAAAAGGCCUUCGGCCGUCUAGAAUGGUCCUUUGUUCGUAAUACUUUAAUCUAUUUUAAUUUCCCCCCAAAGUCACUAAGAUUAUUAUGAACUACAUCACCACCUCUAGAAUAGCAAUCCUGGUAAAUGGAAAUAGAGCUCCUUAUUUUGAACCUAGUAGAGGAAUAAGAAAAGGUGACCUUUUGUCCCUUAUAUAUUCAUUUUUUGCAUUAAAAUGCUUUCCACUCACAUCAACCACAAGGUGGACAUAGGAGAGUGGAGCCCUAUAAAAAUUGGUAAAGGAAAUCUCAUCCUAUCUCAUCUCUUUUAUGUUGAUGAUCUGACACUUCUAAUAAAGAUUGAUGAUAAAUCCGUUCUUACUAUUAAAAGAUGUCUCGAUCAAUUUUGUUCUAAUAUAUUGGGAAAAGAAAUGGUGAAAAGAAAAAGCUUCAUCUAAUAUAUUGGGAAACCAUUACAAGAUCUAAGAAGGAUGGAGGUUUAGGUAUCCGAAAAGCUGAGAGCAAAAACCUAGCUAACCUUGCUAAGCUCUCAUGGAGGCUCCUUAAUACCCUCAAAGCUCCUUGGGCUCAGCUUAUUUAUCAAAUACAUGGCCAUAGGAAAACUACUAAGAAUUCCUCUUUUACUUGGUCAGGAAUUCUUAGGGGAUAGGAGUUAUGCAAUAAAGGUAUAACCUGAAUCCCUCAUAAAAAUUCUAAUCUUAACGUUUGGUAUAGUAAGUGGAUUCAUAAUAUGUCUACCCUAAGACAAUGUUUUAUUGCCCCCCUAGCCAAACCAGACGUUUCUCUAACUAUCAAGGACAUUUGGAAUAACAAUAAUGGAAUGUUUCUAUACUUCCCCAUCAUCUUCAAGAUUCUACCACCAAUAAAAUAAUAGUCACUUCUCCAUCUAGAAGAAAUUAUGACUUACCUAUCUGGUCGCUCAACGUAAUUGGUCUUUUUACAUCCAAAUUUUGGUACUUUAUACUCAACAACUAUGUUGACACAAAGGUAGACUUCUCUUGGAUAUGGAAGUUAAGCUGCCCUAAUAAAUUUAAAUAACUCCUAUGAAAAUGUCUUCACAAUAAGCUUCCUACUAGAAUCCACCUUAAUCAUAUAGGUAUAAACAUUGAUCCUAUAUGUUCCUUCUGUAAACUCCAAGAGGAAACUAUUGAACAUAUCUUUCUAGACCGCGAGGCAGUCCAUGAUCUAUGGUAUUUGCUAAAUAUUGAAAAUAUCUCCUUAAUUUACAAAGCAAAUGGGCUUGUCUUACUUAGUGACAAAGACCCUCCCUUAGGAAACUAUAAUGUUAAGUGGAAGGAGCUCCUUCCUAUUGUUAUUUGGAACAUAUGGAUGAACAGAAAUAAUAACUUCUUUAAUAAUUUUUCAAAUAAAAUCUCUCUUAAGAAUGCUAUAAAUCAAACGGUGCAAUAUAAUCUCCUAACUCAAAAAGAGUUUAAUAAUCACUGUUCCAUUAAUAUUAGGGUUGGCUGGACUAAAUCUAUCACUAGUGCAUUUAAACUUAACAUCGACAGCUCCUUCCGCCAGACAAAUUCUCUUUGUGGACUGGGUAGGGCUAUAUGGAUAGAAAUGAUCAUUGGAUUGUGGGUUUCCAUGGAGAAGCAACGGGCCUAUCACCAAUCCAUGGAGAGCUUCUUGCACUGAAAACAGGGUUGGAAUUGGCUAUAAAGCAAGGACUCCAUGAUAUCGAAGUGGAAAUGGAUUCCACGGAUGCGAUAAGCCACAUCACAAACGGUUUGCCUCUAUUUGACAAUAUCAUUUUUGAUUGCAGGUUGAUAAUGAUCCAGUUGAAGGUCCAAGUAAUCCACCACACAUUCAAUGAAGCCAACAAGGUGGCACACUUAGUGGCUAAAACCGUACUCAAGGAGAAUCGAUGCAACAUGGACAUCUCUAUUUUUAUUAUCCACCCCCUUGUAUCGAUAAUGCUCUAGUUUUGGAUUUGGAAGAAAGGCCUUUGGCAACAAAAAGGCUAAACAAAACUGUCUGAUAUAACCUAGCAUAUUUUGGUAACCAAAUGACUUUCGUGACAUAUUAUGUAAUAGCAAAGUAGUAAAAGCCCCGAUGGGUAUGGAUGGUUGUAUGAACUAUGAUGUUACUUAGCUAAUAUAAAUAUUAGGUCCCUGUUACUCCAAAAAAAAACAUAAAUACUAUGCAAAAAUAUGCAUAGAAAUUUUUGGUUGCAUUAUAUAUAUAUAUAUAUAUCUAGAAUAGCAAUCCUGGUAAAUGGAAAUAGAGCUCCUUAUUUUGAACCUAGUAGAGGAAUAAGAAAAGGUGACCUUUUGUCCCUUAUAUAUUCAUUUUUUGCAUUAAAAUGCUUUCCACUCACAUCAACCACAAGGUGGACAUAGGAGAGUGGAGCCCUAUAAAAAUUGGUAAAGGAAAUCUCAUCCUAUCUCAUCUCUUUUAUGUUGAUGAUCUGACACUUCUAAUAAAGAUUGAUGAUAAAUCCGUUCUUACUAUUAAAAGAUGUCUCGAUCAAUUUUGUUCUAAUAUAUUGGGAAAAGAAAUGGUGAAAAGAAAAAGCUUGGGUCGGCCCGUGACCCAUAUAGAGUUGGCUUGGGCUGACCACUUUAAGAUCCAUUAAAAGUAGUCGGGCCUAGUCAACCCGUCAAAGGCUAAAGCCCGCAUGACAGAUAAUUUUUGGGGAUUUGUAUCUAUGCCCAUUUUUGGGUCACAUUUUAACUUGUGUCCGCUUUGCAACAAAAAAUUACAAUUGUGUCCACUUUUCACGUAACUUCAGCAUACGGGACUGAAGUAACAAAGGCAAUCACAACUUCAGCAUUCUAGUUGACGAGCUUGAAGUAGCAAAUGCAAUACGCUGAAUUUUUUUGUCCUUGAUAAGAUGCUAAAGUUCUUUAGUUCAUUUGUAAAAGCUUCACCUAUUUUGUCCUGAAUUUAUUAGUUUUGUCAUAAAGCUCAAAACCUUCAGCAGAAGAUGCUGAAUUUAUUUAUUUCAUUUGUAAAAACUUCAGGACUAAAUAAGCUGAAGUUUUUUGUCCUUUAUAAGCUUUUUCAAAAACUUUAGCAGAAGAUGCUGAAGUUAUUUAGUUCAUUUGUAAAAAAAUUAGUACUAUGUAAGCUAAAGUUUGUUUGUCCUAGAUUCAUUAGUUUUGUCAUAUAGUUUUUUCAAAAAGUUCAGUGAAUUUAUUUAGUUCAUUUGUAAAAUUUUAACAUUGUAUAAAUUGGAAUUUUUAAAAAAUAUUUCUAACAUGCUAGAUAAAUGAUCACAUUAUUUUUUCAUGAUGUAUGGCUGCGGAAAUGUGCUUAUAAUAGAAGCAGUCACAUUUUGUAAUGGCGCAUUAUAUAAUAAUAUUUUUGUUUGUAAUAAAAAAAAAAGAACUUUAUCAUCGACAAGAAAUCUUUGUAAUAUAUCAUGUCACGUAGAGAGUAUUUCACAUAUUACUAUAUAUGAUAUGGAUAAAUCGUGGCUCGUGGCCAGCCUAUGAGAUCCAUAAAACCAACAGCAAAUAUUCUCUUCAUCAUUGAAAAACUGCUAGAAAUGCAAGGAUAUUGUUGCAUGUGUCCAAUAAAAUAAUAUUUUUCAAUUUCUCAUUCCAUAAUCACAAGAACGGAGGUGUUUCGGUGCUUAUUUAUAUCCUUAAAUGAACACGUAUCUGGUCAAAUUAUGUCCUAAACUACUAAGUACUAAUAAUAAAUUUGCAGCUUCGAUUUUGAAUAUUUAUUAUCAACCACAUGAUCCACAGUGCUAUUUGUUUAUAGUUUGCAUGUAGCUUUUUAUAGGAGAAGAAAUCUAAUAAGCAAAAGCCAAAUGCAUGACAACUAUGAUUUAACUACUCUUUUAUUACUUAACCAUAAUCAAUUAAUGUAUGGCAUAUCUUUAUAUAUCAAUCAAUUACAAUUAAAUAACAUAGUUCAGUGUAAAUAUCAUGUAUCAGCAAAAUUUUUUCAAUCAUAGUGUCGUUGACAUACAGAAUAUAAGGAGGCAAUUUAAGCCUUAUGUGAAAAUAAAGUAGUAUUUUUUUCUUUGAGGAAUGAGUAGAUGAUAGACAAUGAAAAUCUCAAAACCGUAGAGUCAAUUAUCCAACAUAGUUUUAUGUCAGUAGGAAUUUGCCAGCUUGUUUUCAUAUUCCUUAUAUUUUGUACUGCAAUUCUGACCACAUGGGGAUCUUCUAAUUUCUUCAUUAAUUUCAUAUAAAAUAGAAAAACUAAAUGCAAGAAUUUUCAUAAUUCUGUCUAUAAAUCACACACAUUUUCAUCAUUUCUAACACCAAGCAAACAAUAUUUUCACUAAUUAAUUCAAUUAUUGAUAGUGCAAAUUAACUUUAGUGGAAAUGGAUAAGUUUGCUGCAUCAUCUAUUGUCCUUCUUCUCACUUUGAACAUUCUCUUCUUUACUAUGGUUAACUCAACUAAUGACCCAUGCCCCGCACCCCUACAACCCAAGCCCCACCCUACCCCCUAUACCCCUAACCCCACACCAAACCCCAAUCCUACCCNNNNNNNNNNNNNNNNNNNNNNNNNNNNNNNNNNNNNNNNNNACCCCUUAUACUCCAAGCCCCAAUCCAUACCCUACCCCCAAUACCCCAAGUCCCAUCCCCAACCCCAAACCUACUCCUACCCCGAAUGCCCCCCAUACCCCAAACCUACCCCUACACCUAAUACAUGUCACGAUCCAACCUGGUCGUGAUGGCGCCCAACACUAAAGCUAGGCAAGCCUGACCAUCAAUCACUUUCCAUUUAACACUAAGUCUCAAAAAUCGAAAAUUUAAGAAUAUUAUAUUAAUAUUAGAAUAAUAAUCAAAAAAUAUUUAUAGAGUAAUAUGGAAAACUACAAAAAACCGAUAAACACGCCCAUAAGAUCUGGGGUCACGAGUCUAGAGCCUCUAAGUAAAAAUGGAUAAUAAUAUUUGAAUGAAAAUAUGAAAAUAAAUGUGGAAAUGUGUAUAAUAAUAAUGAACUGGAAUAUGAAGAGCAGCCAUGUCUUGCGAACAUCAAGCAGCUACCUCAACGACUCUGAAAAAAUAGCUGGAGACUACGAGUGCUCAGCUAAGCCUCCGGUGUACCUGAAUCUGCACACAAGGUGCAGGGAGUAGGGGUGAGUACUACCGACUCAAUGAAUAAUAAGCAUAAAAAAAUAUUUGAAAUUAAGAAAUUCACGAAAUGCCAUAAAGCAAAGCUAAAAAUAACCAUCCUAUACCUUAGCUACGAACUAACAGCAAAGCAAUAUCAAAUAUAACAGUCAAGUAUCAGAUNNNNNNNNNNNNNNNNNNNNNNNNNNNNNNNNNNNNNNNNNNNNNNNNNNNNNNNNNNNNNNNNNNNNNNNNNAUCAAAUAUAACAGUCAAGUAUCAGAUAAAGAUGCAAUGCAAUGCACAUGAAUACGUUGCGGCGUGCAGCCCGAUCCGUUUAACGUUGACGGCGCUCACUGGGGGUGUGUAAAGACUCCGGAGGGGCUCCUUCAGCCCAAGCGCAAUAUUAUGAUAUCACCGCUGCGGCGUGCAGCCCGACCCAUGCUCAGUCCACAAAAUACAUAUGAGUCACAGAACAGAUUUAAUCUAAUUUUCCAUUUUUUCAAUUUUUGAGGUGAAUGUAAUUUAAUUAAUCAAUUUGAGGAAUAAGGUGACUUAGCAAUUAAUAACAUUGAUUAAGCACUGGACUGAGAUCAAUGAUUAUGCAAAUCAUGUUAUCACACAGAUAAUCACCGUAGACGGGUACUACAGAUCGGCACAAGGCCCCAAACACGGCGUUAAUCCCAAUUAUCAACAACACAAUAUGUGUAUCAGCCGCCAGUAAUUUAUAUUCAGCUCUCGGGAUGGACCAAGUCAUAAUCCCCAAUCAUAUACCAUCCCGCAUCUGCCAUGGGGUGCAGGUCACACCCUAACAUAGCGUCACGAUGUGAUAAACCGGGGUUUCAAACUCUCAGGCCAUCAUCUAUACAAAGUACUCACCUUUAACCGGUCGUAGACUGGUCCGCGAUUCUUUUUCCCUUUGAAUCUCCGUCUACGCGCAUCAAAUCUAGUCAAAACAACAACGAAUAUGUUAUUAUAGGGUAAAUAAACAUAACCCAACUGAAAUUAUUGAAAAAACGCUAAAAAUGCCGAGGUUGGCAAAAUUCGAGCACCGAGCCCACUUCUCAAAAAAUUCUGAAAACCACAUCUUUGGAUUCCUUGUCUCGCCACGAGUCUGUGCAUAUAAACUUUGUCAAAAAAGGAGCUCGAAUGACCUUUCAAAUCCCCAAAAUUCGUUUCUAAAAACUAAACCCUAGUUCUCCAAAAUUUCUACCCAAUUUCAUGGAUUAAUGGUUGAUUCUCCCUAAAAAUGAUGUUUUUAAUUCAAGAGACUUACCUCCAAUCAAUAACCGUUGAAAACACGCUUCAAAUCGCUCAAAAAUAUCUCUUGGUUGCUUAACAAUGGAGGAAAUUAUGAAUAGGUCACGGGUGAAAUAACCCUUAAAACAUUUUGUCCGCCCAGUUAUCCUUCUAUGCGAUCGCAUCCCUACUCCUGCGAUCGCAUAGACCAAAAAUUCGGCCCUCCAAUUUUCCUUUUACGCGAUCGCAUAACACUGAGCCAUAUAACUACGGGAUCGCAUUCGCCACUACGCGAUCGUACAGAACACAAUCCCACAGUUAUGUGAUCGUAGAGCCUCUUAAGCGAUCGCAUAGGGAAAUUCCAGGGCACCUCCAAAACCUUCUAUGCGAUUGUUGACAUACCUAUGUGAUCGCAUAGAGUAAAUCUCUGCUGCACUUUCUUAUUCGAAAAUCCCCGUUAGCCAUCCGAAAUCACCCUGAGGCCCUCGGGACCUCAACCAAAAGGACUGAUAUGUCCUAAUACUUCAUUCAAACUUGCUCGUAACAUAAAAACACUAUCAUAAACAUCAAAAUAAUAAAAUUACCAUGUAUUCAAGCAUAAGUUAAACUAAAACAUCUGAAACUUGCAUUUGAUCCAAAACCCGAUCUAAACACCUCCGAAUGAUCUGAAAAUUUACACGCAUAUCCAAAAUCAACUAACAUAGCUACUGCAACUGUUGGAAUUCCAUUCAGACCCUCGGAUCAAAAUCUCACCUAUCAACUGGACUUCGCCCAAAUUCUAACUUAGCCAAUUCAAGCCUAAUUAUACACCGGGCCUCCAAAUUCAGUUCUGAUUUCGCUCAUAAGUCACAAAUCACCAUCCGAAACUAGUCAAAUCUUUGGAAAUCCAUUUCGUAUCCUCUAACUCAUAAUUCAACAUCAGUUAUGAUUGCUCUCCUAAUUCAUAAAUCACCACCCGAAACUAGUCGAAUCGUUAGAAAUCCAUUCUGAGUCCUCUAACUCAUAAUUCAAUAUUCGGUUGACUUUUCCAAACUAACUUCCUCAUAAAGAGACUAAUUGUCUCAUUUCUACCCAAACUCCAUCUGAAUUACUUGAAACUCUCCAAACUCAUAGAAUGGAACAUAUAUAAACAUAAAACGGGGAAAACAUGACGGUAAAUUUACGGGACGACAGGUCAGGUCGGUACAUCCUCCCAACUUAAACAAACGCUCGUCCUCUGGCGGGUCAAGAAACAUACCCGGAGUAUCAAACAAGUGAGUAUAACUGUUGUGCAUCUCCUACUCGGUCUCCCAAGUGGCUUCCUCCACGGGCUAACCUCUCCACUGCACCUUCACCAAAGCUAUGUCCUUUGAUCUCAACUUUCGAACCUGACGACCCAAAAUAUCCACUGAAUCCACAUCAUAGGUCAAGUCUUCAUCUAACUCGAUUGAGCUGAAGUCUAACACUUGAGACGGUUCCCUAAACGAGCUAGGCGUCAAAGCGAGCAUAUAGGCCACCUCCCCAAUCCUCCUAUGUAUUUCAAAAGGUCCAAUAAACCUGGGACACAGCUUCCCUUUCAUUCCAAACCUCAUAACACCUUUCAUAAGAGAAACCUUUAACAAGACCUUCUCGCCCACUGCAUAAGAUAUAUGUCGAACCUUCCGCUCUGCAUAACUCUUUUGACGCGACUGAGCUGUACAAAGCCUCUCCUGGAUCACUUUCACCUUCUCUAGAGCAUCCUGAACUAACUCCGUCCCCAAUAAUCUAGCCUCGCGGGGCUCAAACCAACCAAUCGGAGAUCUACAAUGUCUCCCAUAUAAGGCUUCAUACGGCACCAUCUGGAUGCUGGAUGGAUAGCUAUUAUUUUAUGCAAACUUCGCAAGUGGAAAAAAUUAAGCCCAAGAACCUCCAAAAUCAAUAGCACAGGGGCGCAACAUGUCCUCCAAUGUCUGGAUAGUGAGCUCGGACUGUCCGUCCAUCUGUGGAUGAAAUGUUGUGCUCAAUUGUACCUUUGUGCCCAACUCCCGAUGAAAAGUCCUCCAGAACUAGGAAGUAGACAUGAUGCCCCUAUACAAUGGAAACCGGGACCCCAUGCAACCGUACAAUCUCUCGAAUGAAAAUCUCUGAUAACUUCUCCGCAGAAUAGGUAGUGCAUACUGGAAUGAAGUGCGCGGACUUAGUCAGCCUAUCCAUAAUCACCCAAAUUGAAUCAAACUUGUUUGAGGUAUGAGGAACACCGCUCACAAAAUCCAUAGAAAUAUUCUCCCAUUUCCACUCCGAGAUAUCCAUCCGCUGGAGUACACCAAAGGGUAUUUGGUGGUCAUAUUUGACCUGCUGACAGUUGAGACACCGAGCCACAUAAUUCACAAUGUCCUUUUUCAUUUCCUCCACUAGUAACACUGUCUCAAAUCCUGAUACAUUUUCACGGCACUAGGAUGAAUCGAAUACCGCGAGCUGUGGGCAUCCUCUAAUAUCAGCUCCCGUAGACCAUCUAUAUUGGGCACGCAAAUCCGGCCCUGAAUUUAUAACACACCAUCAUCGCUAUUGGUCACAUCACUUGAAUCAUCUUGCUGAACCCUGUCCUUCAGGACAAGCAAAUUCGGGUCAUACAAAGAGGAUCGGAAACCACACUAGCCAACACCCGGCUAGGCUUGAAAAUAUCUAACCUCAUCAUUUGAUUGGCCAAGGCCUGAACAUCAACCGCUAGGGCCUCUCCCUACCUGGAAAGUAUGCCAGACUACGCAUGCUAAUAGCCUUCUAGCUCAAAGCAUCUACCACUACAUUGGCCUCCCGGGAUGAUACAGGAUAGUAAUAUCAUAGUCUUUGAUUAACUCAAGCCAUCUCCGCUUUCUCAUAUUAAGAUCCUUCUGGUUGAACAAGUGCUGAAAACUGCGAUGAUCCGUAUAUACCUCACAAGAUACACCAUAUAGAUAAUGCCUCCAAAUCUUCAAGGCAUGAACAAUUGCAGCCAAUUCCAAGUCAUGGACAGGAUAGUUCUUCUCACGAGGCUUUAGCUGACGAGAAGCAUAAGCUAUUACUCUACCCUCCUUCAUUAAUACACAACCGAUCCCAACUCUCAAAGCAUCACAAUACACCAUGUAAGAACCUGAAGCUGAUGGCAACACUAUGGUCAAAGCCGACUUGAGCUUUUGGAAGCUCUCAUUGCAUUCAUCUGACCACACAAAUGGGGCAUUCUUCGGCGUCAACUUCGUCAAGAGCGAAGCAAUAGAUGAAAAUCCCUGAACGAACUUGCGAUAAUAACCCGCCAAACUGAGGAAACUCCGAAUAUAAGUAGCUGAGGUCGGUCUGGGCCAACUCUACACCGCCUCAAUCUUCUUUGGGUCAAACUGAAUACCAUCACUGGACAUCACGUGUCCCAGAAAGGUCACAGUAUUAGGCCAGAAUUCACACUUGGAGAACUUUGUAUAAAGCUUCUCCUAUAUCAAUCUCUGCAAGACCACCCUCAAAUGUUGCGUGUGCUUCUCCUGGCUACGCGAAUACACUAGAAUAUCAUCAAUAAACAUGAUCACAAAAGAAUCCAGAUAAGGCCGAAAUAUACUAUUCAUCAAGUGCAUGAAUGCGUCUAGGGCAUUGGUCAGCCCGAAAGACAUCACUAGAAACUCGUAGUGCCCAUAUCUCGUCCUAAAAACCGUCUUCAUAAUGUCUGAAUCCCUAAUCUUCAGCUGGUGAUAGCCUGAUCGAAGGUCAAUCUUAGAGAAUACCCUUGCUCCCUGAAGCUAAUCAAAUAAAUCCUCAAUACGGGGUAGUGGGUACUUGUUCUUUGCUGCCAGCUUAUUCAACUGCCUGUAGUCAAUGCACAUUCUCAUUGUGUCGUCCUUCUCCUUGAGAAAUAAUACCGGUGCACCCCAAGGUGACACACUCGGGCAAAUGAACCCCUUAUCUAGAGUUCAUGAAGUUGUUCUUUAAAAUCCUUUAGAAUCAUUGGUGCUAGACGAUAGGGAGUAAUAGAGAUGGGCUGAGUGCCAAACACCAGAUCAACACCGAAAUCAAUGUCCCUGUCCGGCGGCAUGCCUGUCAAGUCCGCUGGAAAUACAUCAGGGAAAUCCCUUACAAUGGGAACCGAAUCAUGACUAGGAGCCUCAGCUUCCACAUCCCUCACAAAAGCCAGAUACAACAAAUACCCCUUUCCAACCAUCCGUUGAGCUUUUAGGAAGGACAUCACUCUACUAGGUACAUAUUCAGUCACGUUUCGCCACUCGAUCCUCGGAAUACCCGGAAUAGCCAACAUAAUUGUCUUAGCAUGACAGCCCAGAUUAGCAUGGUACGGAGAUAGCCAAUCCACACCCAGAAUCACAUCGAAGUCUACAAUGCCCAAUAAUAAUACGUCAACUCGUGACCCCAAAUAGUCACCCGACAGGAUCGUUAGACAUGAUCCACAAUAAUAUUAUCACCCACCAGGGUAGAUACGUGCACGGGAUAGGUAAGACAACCACGGAUCGUACCCAAAUGAUGAGAAAAAUAGGAAGAUACAUACGAAUAGGUAGAUCAGGGAUCAAAUAAAAUAGAAACAUUCCUGUGGCAGACUGAGAUAAUACCUGUGAUGACUGCAUCCAAGGGAAUAGCGUCCCUCCUAUCUGGAAGGGCAUAGAAACAAGCCUUGCCACCGCCUGUACGGUCCUCACCCCUGGGGCAACCCUGCUACCUUGCCUCCGCCCCUAGCUUCUUGAGUCGGAGACGAAGAAACCUGAGCAGAAGAUGAGGGCUGAUCCCUCUUCUAGAUACUGUCUAAGGUUCACGGGUGAAAGAAGAUGAUAAGAAGGGAAAGGAAAGCGAGCCAACGGAAGAACUGGGAUAGGAAUAGCAAAGCCAAGGCACCCUAUUUAUAGGAACUACGACAUAACCAUAAAGGCUCCAGAAGACUGAACGAUGGGCGCAGUUAAUGCAUCCAUGGAAAAUCAAACUGAAGGUGGUACCUUCACCUUGAAAAAUGAGAAUCAGGAGUUCAAUGAAUAAAGUUGAAAAGCACGAGCCUGUGGAUGUCCAAUCAUCUCGAUGCUCAGGCCAGGAGUUGCAUCAUCGAUAUGUCAUCUUUGAAAGAAGAUCGAUGAGUUGAGUGUCAGAAUUAUUUCCCAUCUUUUCAUUAUAGGAAAUGCAGAGACUAGGUACGCAGCGAAAUCAAAAGACUUGAUUUCGUGCUGUCGAAACAUUUCAGAAGCAUGCCUCGGAACCCUAGAGGUGGAGGCCGCGGCCGAGUUCCCGACCUCGAGGAAACGAAGACUGAAGCCAGGAUAGAGGGGAAAGUCCCCCAAGGCACAUGGCUACGUCUAACAUGUCUCAUCUCUGUACUUUGUAAUUAAUCUCCACAAACUUGUAACCGAGUCUCUCCUUAUAUAUAAAGGGGACUCACCCUACCUUGCAAAAGGAUGAUGUUGCAUCAUUUUUCUACUAAAGCAAUAAUAUCUCUCUCUCUUUCUUUUCUUCUGAAAUUGUUCAUUUUCAUUGGCCCAGGGCCGCUUUAGCAUUUAUCAUUCUCUUAUUUGGUCUUCACUAUAUUUCUCAAUAUUGGUAACAUAGAGCCUUGCUUUGUCAUAACUCGAGCUCAGCUAGAACAUUGGCGCUGAGGUCCCCGUCGACCGGCUUUGUAUCUGGGCAACAGGCCCCCUCAGUUUGAUUAUUGUCUCGUUUUAGCUCGCUUUUCAUCAUUAUACUUCACUUUAUUAGCAUCAACUGCUCUAAAAACUAACUCAAGAAUAGAUCACGUAUUUUUAGAAUCUCAUUUAUAAAUUUAAUUAUCGUUACUAUUUUUACAGUAAACAAAGCCUCAUGUGAAAAUAAAGGAGGAGCAUUUUCUUUUUGCCGAAUAAGAAGAUGACAGACAAUAAUCUCAAAAUUCUAAAGUCAAUAAUCCAACAUAUAUAAUUUUAUGUUAGUUGAAAUUUGCCAGCUUGUUUUCAUAUUCCUUACAUUUUGUACUGAAAUUACAACCAUAUGGGCAUCUUGCAAUUUUUUCAUUAAUUUCAUAUAAAUAAGAAAACUAAAUGCAAGAAAUUUCAUUAUUCUAUCUAUAAAUACUCAUCCAUUUUUCAUCAUUUUCAACACCAAACAAACAUCAUUAUUACUAACUUCUUCAGUUGUUGAUAGAGCUAAUUAACUUUAGUGGAAAUGGCUAAGUUUGUUUCAUCCCCCAUUGCUCUUGUUUUAACUUUGAACAUUCUCUUUUUCACUAUGGCUAGAUCCACUAAUGCCCCAUGCCCACCACCCCCCUACAACCCAAGCCCCACCUAACCUUUAUACCCCAAACCCCACCCAUACCCCAAGCCUUGCCCUACCGUAUGUACCCUAAGCCCCAUCCUACCCCUAAUACCUCAAGACCAACACCACAUCCCAAGCUAAUCCCUAAUACCCCAAGCCCCACCCCACACCCC
This 31553-nucleotide long non-coding RNA is filed under the name Nicotiana benthamiana. RNAcentral describes it as "long non-coding RNA (NBEN_LNC038315)". Lineage: Eukaryota; Viridiplantae; Streptophyta; Magnoliopsida; Solanales; Solanaceae. The record is from RNAcentral.